CUCGGAUCAGGUAGGGAUACCCGCUGAACUUAAGCAUAUCAAUAAGCGGAGGAAAAGAAACCAACAGGGAUUGCCUCAGUAACGGCGAGUGAAGCGGCAACAGCUCAAAUA
RNAcentral lists this ribosomal RNA (111 nucleotides) under Candelaria sp. Hur ANT050743. RNAcentral describes it as "partial 28S ribosomal RNA". It matches the Rfam family "Eukaryotic large subunit ribosomal RNA", at positions 1 to 115 of the family's 3401-position model. Lineage: Eukaryota; Fungi; Ascomycota; Candelariomycetes; Candelariales; Candelariaceae. The record is from RNAcentral.